CCUACGGGUGGCAGCAGUGGGGAAUAUUGCACAAUGGGCGAAAGCCUGAUGCAGCAACGCCGCGUGAGCGAUGAAGGCUUUCGGGUCGUAAAGCUCUGUCCUCAAGGAAGAUAAUGACGGUAUACGAGGUGGAUGCGCCGGCUAACUACGUGCCAGCCGCCGCGGUAAUACGUAGGGGGCUAGCGUUAUCCGGAAUUACUGGGCGUAAAGGGUGCGUAGGUGGUUUCUUAAGUCAGAGUUGAAAGGCCACGGCUCAACCGUAGUAAGCCUUUGAAACUGGGGAACUUGAGUGCAGGAGAGGAGAGUGGAAUUCCUUGUGUAGCGGUGAAAUGCGUAGAUAGUAGGAGGAACACCAGUUGCGAAGGCGGCUCUCUGGACUGUAACUGACACUGAGGCACGAAAGCGUGGGGAGCAAACAGGAUUAGAUACCCCUGUAGUC
This 439-nucleotide ribosomal RNA is filed under the name uncultured bacterium. Its description in RNAcentral is "partial 16S ribosomal RNA". It matches the Rfam family "Bacterial small subunit ribosomal RNA", at positions 338 to 795 of the family's 1533-position model. The record is from RNAcentral.